This 255-nucleotide ribosomal RNA is filed under the name uncultured bacterium. Its description in RNAcentral is "partial 16S ribosomal RNA". It matches the Rfam family "Bacterial small subunit ribosomal RNA", at positions 524 to 776 of the family's 1533-position model. The record is from RNAcentral.
UACGAAGGGGGCUAGCGUUGUUCGGAUUUACUGGGCGUAAAGGGCGCGCAGGCGGCAGAUCAAGUCAGACGUGAAAGCCCCGGGCUUAACCUGGGAACUGCGUUUGGGACUGGUUUGCUAGAGAUCGGGAGAGGAGAGUGGAAUUCCCAGUGUAGAGGUGAAAUUCGUAGAUAUUGGGAAGAACACCGGUGGCGAAGGCGGCUCUCUGGACCGAUACGUGACGCUGAGGCGCGAAAGCGUGGGGGAGCAAACAGG